UGAAGCUGAGCCUGGCACAGCACGAACUUCUUCUGCCAGCAGGACAUCCACAGUGUGCUGCCAGGAUUUAGAGCUAGUCACCUCUUGCAGAGCCCUCGAGGGGACAGCACUGGAGACCGUUCCUACCAGUGAUGUGACCAUACUUGGGAUGCUACGAAGACAUGCAUGUGAUACCUGAUAAUUGAUGCUGAUCACCAAGGCACAUCCCGCAUAGCUCUGCUGUUACUGUUGAAAGGUUUAUCCGCUUUUUGCUGGUUCUACUUUGGUCGCAUAAGUUUCCUUGAAACGUAAGCAGCGCUAGCAAACCAUUCAAAGCAAAACAUGUACCUAUCUACUGUUUUGAGUAUAUCUAAGGAUUUAUGACUUUGUGUAGUCGCACUGGAAUUUAUUUCUUUUUCAGGAACUUGAGAACAUAGAGUUAUAAAAGAUUUAAUGGAGCCAGAAAUAUUGUUAUUGCUUUCUACAGGAGUGCCAAAUGGGUACUGAAAUACCGGUGAUAUUGCUCAAUAUUUCACAGAAUCACAGAACAAUUAAGGCUAGGAGGGACCUCAGGAGGUGUCUUAUUCAGCCCCCUGCUCACAGAAAAAAGCAUCAGUUCAGGGAGAUGGUGAGGUCUCAGGCAACCAGAUAUCAGGAAAAAUCCCCUGUUUAGUGCUCAGAGGAGCCCCAAGACAUACUUCAGGAUUGAAGGCAAGACAGAGAGAGGUAUAUUUCAUAAUCUUUCAUAGAAACUGAUUUUACGUAAGUUCUUAUGCAAAUAUGAGGAUACUCAUAAUAAUAUUACUGUUUGGCAGAAAAUUAGUGAUGACACUGAUCAACCGCCAGGCUUUACUGGUUGUCUUGUUA
RNAcentral lists this long non-coding RNA (846 nucleotides) under Struthio camelus australis. Its description in RNAcentral is "lncRNA (ENSSCUG00000006718.1)". The record is from RNAcentral. Lineage: Eukaryota; Metazoa; Chordata; Aves; Struthioniformes; Struthionidae.